Long non-coding RNA from Drosophila ananassae, 530 nucleotides. RefSeq lists it as uncharacterized. The transcript is spliced from 2 exons. The record is from RefSeq and is a predicted model, not a curated record. Lineage: Eukaryota; Metazoa; Arthropoda; Insecta; Diptera; Drosophilidae.
AAUUUAUUUUCGUUCGCUGGUGCAGCUGCGUUUGAACUUUUCUACUUUUCGGUUCUAAAUUUAAGUUUAAUUCUAAACAUUUACCGUUAGGUUCUUCCCUAGCCUCCCUUGCAUUCUUUCCGUGUGGAGCGUACUGUAGCCUUAUGGCAUUGUUUCGCCUUGCAGACCUCCAAAAUGCAACUAUUUCUGGCCCGCAUACUAGAUACACAGCCAAUUCGUAUCUAUAAGAUGCACCACAUAAGCGGAUGCAUCCCAUUUGGCGGCGAUAUCUCUUCUCUAAUCUCAAUGAUCUAAAGAGUGAGAUUUUUUUUUUUUGGAAGGCGGAGGAGGAGGAAAAGUUUUCUAACUGUUCCAUUACCAAUUGCUACGAAAACGAAAAGAGUGCGCCAAAAUGGGAGAAGACUCCUCAACCAGGAAGAGAUGCGGAAAACAAGAGAGAAGAUAUGGAGGAAAAAAACAACAAUAAACAUCUACUGACUCGCAACGGUAUAUUUUUUUUUUUUUUCCUUUUUUACAUACAAGCUUACAAA